UACGUAGGGGGCAAGCGUUGUCCGGAUUUAUUGGGCGUAAAGAGCUCGUAGGUGGUUCGGUAAGUCGGAUGUGAAAUCUCCAGGCUCAACCUGGAGGGGUCAUUCGAUACUGCCGUGACUAGAGUUCGGUAGGGGAGUGUGGAAUUCCUGGUGGAGCGGUGAAAUGCGCAGAUAUCAGGAGGAACGCCCGUAGCGAAGGCGGCACUCUGGGCCGAUACUGACACUGAGGAGCGAAAGCGUGGGGAGCGAACAGG
RNAcentral lists this ribosomal RNA (254 nucleotides) under uncultured bacterium. RNAcentral's name for it is "partial 16S ribosomal RNA". It matches the Rfam family "Bacterial small subunit ribosomal RNA", at positions 524 to 776 of the family's 1533-position model. The record is from RNAcentral.